GUCCAGGUUAGAUUUGUUAAAAUUAUUCUACUGAAGAGUAUGAUGUAAUUGUCAUUUUUGACACAUGACUUUUCACACUACAGGGCCUACCAAGACAAGGGUUCUCGAACAACUGUGGGGUGUUUGUUUUUGAUGUACGCAUUUUACAUUGUGGCAAGAGCCCAAUUUGAUUUCAAUGAGACAAACAUGCAGCAAAUUAAGCACUGGUGGUAACCCUAGUUCUCCUGAAAAACGUUCCCAUGCCGUCUGAACAAGCGAGGUCGCAAGACUGCAAGAGGCGACGGGAGGAAAAGGCAAUGCAGGUAGAAGUUGUUGAAUCACAAAUGAUAAAGUCUUGAACCAGUGUGAGUGUUAAACAUUUAACCUCUCUUUGUCAAAUAUAUUUCAGGAUGAAGAGGUUGUGAGGUUCCACAAAAGAAGCAGGCCAUCAUUUGAGAUGGGGUCAUGAGUGAGUGCUGCUGGGGGGUUCACUAAUGCCUCAAAAUGUAUUAGUUGUCACGAUCUGUCUGUGUAUUAUUUUGUCCUGUCUUGUCUGUUGCUUUCUGUGUUCAAUCAAAUUGAAAGUCCUGAAUU
This is a long non-coding RNA of Gymnodraco acuticeps, 573 nucleotides long. RefSeq lists it as uncharacterized. The transcript is spliced from 4 exons. NCBI's taxonomy places the organism in Eukaryota, Metazoa, Chordata, Actinopteri, Perciformes, Bathydraconidae. The record is from RefSeq and is a predicted model, not a curated record.